AAACUAAAGGAAUUGACGGGGGCCCGCACAAGCGGUGGAGCAUGUGGUUUAAUUCGAUGCAACGCGAAGAACCUUACCUGGUCUUGACAUCCACGGAAGUUUUCAGAGAUGAGAAUGUGCCUUCGGGAACCGUGAGACAGGUGCUGCAUGGCUGUCGUCAGCUCGUGUUGUGAAAUGUUGGGUUAAGUCCCGCAACGAGCGCAACCCUUAUCCUUUGUUGCCAGCGGUCCGGCCGGGAACUCAAAGGAGACUGCCAGUGAUAAACUGGAGGAAGGUGGGGAUGACGUCAAGUCAUCAUGGCCCUUACGACCAGGGCUACACACGUGCUACAAUGGCGCAUACAAAGAGAAGCGACCUCGCGAGAGCAAGCGGACCUCAUAAAGUGCGUCGUAGUCCGGAUUGGAGUCUGCAACUCGACUCCAUGAAGUCGGAAUCGCUAGUAAUCGUGGAUCAGAAUGCCACGGUGAAUACGCUCCCGGGCCUU
This 484-nucleotide ribosomal RNA is filed under the name uncultured Enterobacteriaceae bacterium. RNAcentral describes it as "bacterial SSU rRNA". It matches the Rfam family "Bacterial small subunit ribosomal RNA", at positions 898 to 1382 of the family's 1533-position model. The record is from RNAcentral. Lineage: Bacteria; Pseudomonadati; Pseudomonadota; Gammaproteobacteria; Enterobacterales; Enterobacteriaceae.